This 253-nucleotide ribosomal RNA is filed under the name uncultured bacterium. Its description in RNAcentral is "partial 16S ribosomal RNA". It matches the Rfam family "Bacterial small subunit ribosomal RNA", at positions 524 to 776 of the family's 1533-position model. The record is from RNAcentral.
UACGUAGGGUGCGAGCGUUAAUCGGAAUUACUGGGCGUAAAGCGUGCGCAGGCGGUUCGUUAUGUCCGAUGUGAAAGCCCCGAGCUCAACUUGGGAAUGGCAUUGGAAACUGGCGGGCUGGAGUGUGGCAGAGGGGGGUGGAAUUCCACGUGUAGCAGUGAAAUGCGUAGAUAUGUGGAGGAACACCGAUGGCGAAGGCAGCCCCCUGGGUCAAGACUGACGCUCAGGUGCGAAAGCCAGGGGAGCGAACGGG